AUAAUACUCCCUCCGUUCGGAAUUACUUGUCACAGAAAUAGAUGUAUCUACACAUAUCUUAGUUCUAGAUACAUCCAUUUUUGCGACAAGUAAUUCCGAACGGAGGGAGUAGUUU
This is a non-coding RNA of Triticum aestivum (bread wheat), 115 nucleotides long. The record is from Rfam. NCBI's taxonomy places the organism in Eukaryota, Viridiplantae, Streptophyta, Magnoliopsida, Poales, Poaceae.